AGUGAACGCUGGCGGCAGGCCUAACACAUGCAAGUCGAGCGGCAGCGCGGUGUAGCAAUACACUGGCGGCGAGCGGCGGACGGGUGAGGAAUGCGUCGGAAUCUGCCUCUUUGUGGGGGA
Molecule: ribosomal RNA, 120 nt
Filed under: uncultured bacterium
Lineage: Bacteria
Description: partial 16S ribosomal RNA
Rfam family: Bacterial small subunit ribosomal RNA
Source: RNAcentral